CCUACGGGAGGCAGCAGUAGGGAAUAUUGCUCAAUGGGGGAAACCCUGAAGCAGCAACGCCGCGUGAAGGAUGAAGGUUUUCGGAUUGUAAAAUCCUUUUGUUAGAGAAGAUAAUGACGGUAUCUAACGAAUAAGCACCGGCUAACUCCGUGCCAGCAGCCGCGGUAAUACGGGGGGUGCAAGCGUUACUCGGAAUCACUGGGCGUAAAGGGCGCGUAGGCGGGAUAGCAAGUCAGAUGUGAAAUCCUAUGGCUUAACCAUAGAACUGCAUUUGAAACUGUUAUUCUAGAGUAUGGGAGAGGUAGGUGGAAUUCGUGGUGUAGGGGUAAAAUCCGUAGAGAUCAAGAGGAAUACUCAUUGCGAAGGCGACCUGCUAGAACAUAACUGACGCUGAUGCGCGAAAGCGUGGGGAGCAAACAGGAUUAGAUACCCUUGUAGUC
Molecule: ribosomal RNA, 440 nt
Filed under: uncultured bacterium
Lineage: Bacteria
Description: partial 16S ribosomal RNA
Rfam family: Bacterial small subunit ribosomal RNA
Source: RNAcentral